Molecule: long non-coding RNA, 1253 nt
Organism: Perca fluviatilis (European perch)
Lineage: Eukaryota; Metazoa; Chordata; Actinopteri; Perciformes; Percidae
Exons: 2
Source: RefSeq, a predicted model, not a curated record
AGCUAACUAGUUCUAGCCUGCUUGGGAAUAUCGAUAUAUCUUUGGGUCCAGUCUGCUAGUUUAGCCACCGCGCUAGCUAGCGAUACGAAACCUGCUAGCCAGUAGGCUAACUAUCGGAUACGAGUCAAUCCAAUCUAUGCAUCUAGUUUAGAUUAAUUCACUUCAGCAGAUGCAUACAAAAAAAAUGCCCUCGUUGCCAGCUGCUAACGGACUCACUAGCUUGGCGGACUUAACUGCAACACUGGCUCGGUUUCAGAUUUUAGUUAAUAAGCUAACGGCUGCGAGUCAGCUCGUAUUUAGGGAAGUCUUGCAGCGUUUCCGACAGCAACAACAGCAAAAAAAAAAUAAAAACGACAUAAAAACAGAGUCCAACGGCUUUAAAAACCAAGAUGAAAUCGCACACGGCAGCAUCGGAGGCAUUUGGGAUACUUGUAUCAGUGUUGGAACAACUCUUCAAUGUGGACAAGGGAAAGAGAGAAGCUGUGGGACACUCACGCUCCAGACUGGAUCCUGAGAGAGCCGACUUCGUUGUUGCACCAGCCCAUGGCCUGGAGGGAGGGGUAAUCGUCACUGAGCUCGCCCUUACGGCCCAGGAAGUUCUCACGCUCGUAGAUGGUCAUACGGCACUCUCUGUGGUUCUGCAAACGGGAAACAAAAAGAAACAAAAGAACAAAAGAGGCAUGUCAGUUGUUUUUCCGGGGGGCACAUCUUCAAAACACAGGGCUUUGGUUUUGUUCUGUUUUCUUUAUUUAGGCCUACACAUGCAAAAAAUUAAGUUUGUUUGGUAUUCUGACAUCCGCGGGUAAAAUAAUUAAAAAAAAAGCACUCACAAGGCUUUGGAUGCUUCCAGAAGCUCCCACAAUACAAGGGUGGCUAUUUAUAGUAAAUUACAUCUAUGUUACGCAGAGGAUAACCUUCUCUCUGCGUCUUCAGAAUUAUUUUUUUCAUUUAUUCAAAUAAGUGGGUCAAAUUAUGUUUAGCCUUUACGGCCAGAAUUUCUGGAAAUAUCACAUAAAUGAGUAAUGUUUUCAUUUUCAACGGACCCUGAAAAACUGACUUUUUGUCAUUUGCUGUCAAUAAUAUCAUUUUGUAAUGGUCUUACAAAACAUUUUUCCAUGUAAAUACUCUCCCAAACUGUAUUAAGUUCCUGUUGUCUUUAUGUUUGAAAAGGAAAAAUGGAAACAGAUAUUGUUCCGAUAUAAGUCUUGUAUUCUACAUUGCUGUGCUAAUAAAUAAAAUCUAAAUAUGUUUGA